GACGAACGCUGGCGGCGUGCUUAACACAUGCAAGUCGAACGGUGAAGGGACCGGUUUUUGCUGGUUCUGGAUGAGUGGCGAACGGGUGAGUAACACGUGAGUAACCUGCCCCCUUCUUCUGGAUAACCGCAUGAAAGUGUGGCUAAUACGGGAUAUUCUGCGCCUGCUGCAUGGUGGGUGUGGUCAAGAUAUGGUUUCGGGGGGGGAUGGGCUCGCGGCCUAUCAGCUUGUUGGGGGGGUGAUGGCCUACCAAGGCGGUGACGGGUAGCCGGCCUGGGAGGGUGGACGGUCACACUGGGACUGAGACACGGCCCAGACUCCUACGGGAGGCAGCAGUGGGGAAUAGUGCACAAUGGGCGCAAGCCUGAUGCAGCGACGCCGCGUGAGGGAUGGAGGCCUUCGGGUUGUAAACCUCUUUCGCCAGUGAAGCAGGCCUGUCCCUUGUGUGGGUGGGUUGACGGUAGCUGGAUAAGAAGCGCCGGCUAACUACGUG
This 493-nucleotide ribosomal RNA is filed under the name uncultured bacterium. Its description in RNAcentral is "partial 16S ribosomal RNA". It matches the Rfam family "Bacterial small subunit ribosomal RNA", at positions 28 to 507 of the family's 1533-position model. The record is from RNAcentral.